UACGAAGGGGGCUAGCGUUGUUCGGAAUCACUGGGCGUAAAGCGCACGUAGGCGGAUCUUUAAGUCAGGGGUGAAAUCCCGAGGCUCAACCUCGGAACUGCCUUUGAUACUGGGGAUCUCGAGUCCGGAAGAGGUGAGUGGAACUGCGAGUGUAGAGGUGAAAUUCGUAGAUAUUCGCAAGAACACCAGUGGCGAAGGCGGCUCACUGGCCCGGAACUGACGCUGAGGUGCGAAAGCGUGGGGAGCAAACAGGG
RNAcentral lists this ribosomal RNA (254 nucleotides) under uncultured bacterium. Its description in RNAcentral is "partial 16S ribosomal RNA". It matches the Rfam family "Bacterial small subunit ribosomal RNA", at positions 524 to 777 of the family's 1533-position model. The record is from RNAcentral.